GAUUUCUGGUUCGGUCGCACUGGCCCGCCUCUUCGGAGGUGUGUUGCCGGCUGUGGCCAGCCAUCCUUCCGGUUAACAAUCCUAGUCUUCGUUGAUGUGGGGUUGUGAUCCGGAUCUUUUACUUUGAAAAAAUUAGAGUGUUUAAAGCAGGCUUUUGCUAUGAAUACAUUAGCAUGGAAUAAUAAUCUAGGACUUCGGUUCUAUUUUGUUGGUUUCUAUAACUGAAGUAAUGAUUGAUAGGGAUAGUUGGGGGUGCUAGUAUUGGCCGGCCAGAGGUGAAAUUCUUGGAUUCGGUCAAGACUAACUUAUGCGAAAGCAUU
RNAcentral lists this ribosomal RNA (320 nucleotides) under Ebriida sp. RNAcentral's name for it is "SSU rRNA". The stretch from base 61 to 320 matches the Rfam family "Eukaryotic small subunit ribosomal RNA", at positions 694 to 955 of the family's 1831-position model. Lineage: Eukaryota; Cercozoa; Thecofilosea. The record is from RNAcentral.